This 219-nucleotide ribosomal RNA is filed under the name uncultured bacterium. Its description in RNAcentral is "partial 16S ribosomal RNA". It matches the Rfam family "Bacterial small subunit ribosomal RNA", at positions 125 to 334 of the family's 1533-position model. The record is from RNAcentral.
UCUACCCUAGGGUGGGGAAUAACUCCUCGAAAGGGGAGCUAAUGCCGACAUGUGCAACACUUUCGCAAGGGAGUGAUGGAAAGCCGUAUCGUGGAUACGGUGCCCAAGGAUGAGCUCACGUCCUAUCAGCUUGUUGGCGGGGUAACGGCCCACCAAGGCUGCGACGGGUAGCUGGUCUGAGAGGACGACCAGCCACACUGGCACUGCGACACGGGCCAG